UAUGGGAUGUGCCCCAGCUUGUGACAUGC
This 29-nucleotide small RNA is filed under the name Bombyx mori (domestic silkworm). RNAcentral describes it as "ovarian small RNA-23969". Lineage: Eukaryota; Metazoa; Arthropoda; Insecta; Lepidoptera; Bombycidae. The record is from RNAcentral.